UUCCAAAAGAGUUAAACACAGGGACACAUAUGAAGUCUCGGGGCCGGGUGUUGGUUCCGGUAGCGAUCGAGGGAAGUUAGUACCGAAGUCCGGGAUGGAAGAUGGCGAGAAAAGCUGUGUGUAUUUCUGCGGUGCCCGUACCGCAAACCGACACAGGUAGGUAGGAAGAAGAUUCUAAGGCCAACGGGAGAAGGGUUGUUAAGGAACUCGGCAAAUUGACCCCGUAACUUCGGGAGAAGGGGUGCUGCAGCAAUGCAGCCGCAGAGAAUCGGCCCAAGCAACUGUUUACCAAAAACACAGGUUUGUGCUAAAUCGAAAGAUGACGUAUACGAGCUGACGCCUGCCCGGUGCUGGAAGGUUAAGAGGAGAUGUGCAAGCAUUGAAUCGAAGCCCCAGUGAACGGCGGCCGUAACAAUAACGGUCCUAAGGUAGCGAAAUUCCUUGUCAGGUAAGUUCUGACCCGCAUGAAAGGCGUAAUGAUUUGGGCACUGUCUCAACAGCCCGCCCGGCGAAAUUGUUGUACCGGUGAAGAUGCCGGUUACCCGCGACAAGACGGAAAGACCCCAUGGAGCUUUACUGUAGCCUAAUAUUGGGUUUCGAUGUUGCAUGCACAGGAUUGAUGGGACACAGGGAAGCAGGUGCUUUGGCGCUUGUGGAGUGGCCGUUGGGAUACCAUCCUUGCGAUAUUGGAAUUCUAACCUGCGCCUUUGAAUCAAGGCGGGGGACAUUGUUAGGUGGGCAGUUUGACUGGGGCGGUCGCCUCCUAAAGAGUAACGGAGGCGUUCAAAGGUUCGCUCAGCUUGAACGGAAAUCAAGCAAAAGAGUGCAAACGCAGAAGCGAGCCUAACUGCAGACUGACGGGUCGAGCAGUAACGAAAGUUGGAGUUAGUGAUCCGGUGGUAUGUGAGUGGAAAUGCCAUCGCUCAACGGAUAAAAGUUACCCUGGGGAUAACAGGCUGAUCUCCCCCAAGAGUCCACAUCGACGGGGAGGUUUGGCACCUCGAUGUCGGCUCAUCGCAUCCUGGGGCUGUAUUCGGUCCCAAGGGUUUGGCUGUUCGCCAAUUAAAGCGGUACGCGAGCUGGGUUCAGAACGUCGUGAGACAGUUCGGUCCCUAUCUGUCGUGGGCGCAGGAUAUUUGAUGGGAGCUGUUCCUAGUACGAGAGGACCGGAGCGGACGUACCUCUGGCGCACCAGUUGUUCUGCCAAGAGCAUAGCUGGGCAACUAUGUACGGAUCGGAUAAACGCUGAAAGCAUCUAAGCGUGAAGCCGACCCAAAGAUAAGAUAUCCCAUUGUUUCAAACAAGUAAGACCCCUUGAAGACUACAAGGUUGAUAGGCACGAUGUGUAAGUGGAGCGAUCCAUUCAGCAAGCGUGUACUAAUAGGUCGAGGGCUUGACC
RNAcentral lists this ribosomal RNA (1399 nucleotides) under metagenome. RNAcentral's name for it is "bacterial LSU rRNA". It matches the Rfam family "Bacterial large subunit ribosomal RNA", at positions 1448 to 2925 of the family's 2925-position model. The record is from RNAcentral.